This is a non-coding RNA of Camelina sativa (false flax), 461 nucleotides long. NCBI's taxonomy places the organism in Eukaryota, Viridiplantae, Streptophyta, Magnoliopsida, Brassicales, Brassicaceae. The record is from RefSeq and is a predicted model, not a curated record.
CGCAGCGCCGGAUACGAAAGGUUGCGACUCCUAAGCCCGAUAAAGUGGGAUGGAAGAGAGUAGUGAGGAUAUUUGCCAAGCAGCUUCUGAUUUAAACUCAAGGUUGCAUUACCACUAAGGAGCUGGGGAUUGUGAUGUGUUGUUCUCUUGGAAAAAACCCAACCGAAGCAGAGCUUCAAGACAUGAUUAAUGAAGUGGAUGUGGAUGGUAAUGGUACCAUUGAUUUCCUUGAGGUCUUGAAAUUGCUGCUGAGUAUGGCUAUAUUCUAAGUAAUUGCAGAGCAUGUGAUGGAACUUUACACCAAGAUGACUAAUGGAUCAACAAUCAAAAAGACAAGGAGACUGCUCUUGUUUAGAGUUACAAGGAUGCUAACCCUUAUUUUGACUCAUUUCCUUUAAAGCUCUAUGUUGAAUAUGUGUUCCUAAAUCACUGUUUUUAUUUUCACUUUGCCUCAAUGUGUA